AAAAAAGGUAAGCUACUAAGAGCGAAUGGUGGAUGCCUUGACUGGUAAAGGCGAUGAAGGACGUACUAGACUGCGAUAAGCUACGGGGAGCUGUCAAGAAGCUUUGAUCCGUAGAUUUCCGAAUGGGGCAACCCAAUGUAUAGAGAUAUACAUUACCUAUAUAGGAGCGAACGAGGGGAAUUGAAACAUCUUAGUACCCUCAGGAAAAGAAAUCAAUAGAGAUUGCGUCAGUAGCGGCGAGCGAAAGCGCAAGAGGGCAAACCCAGUGCUUGCACUGGGGGUUGUAGGACUGCAAUGUGCAAGAGGUGAGUUUAGCAGAACAUUCUGGAAAGUAUAGCCAUAGAGGGUGAUAGUCCCGUAUGCGAAAAACAAACCUUAGCUAGCAGUAUCCUGAGUAGGGCGGGACACGAGAAAUCCUGUCUGAAGCUGGGUCGACCACGAUCCAACCCUAAAUACUAAUACCAGAUCGAUAGUGCACAAGUACCGUGAGGGAAAGGUGAAAAGAACUGAGGUGAUCAGAGUGAAAUAGAACCUGAAACCAUUUGCUUACAAUCAUUCAGAGCCCUAUGUAGCAAUACAGGGUGAUGGACUGCCUUUUGCAUAAUGAGCCUGCGAGUUGUGGUGUCUGGCAAGGUUAAGCAAACGCGAAGCCGUAGCGAAAGCGAGUCUGAAUAGGGCGCUUAGUCAGAUGCUGCAGACCCGAAACGAAGUGAUCUAUCCAUGAGCAAGUUGAAGCUAGUGUAAGAACUAGUGGAGGACUGAACCCAUAGGCGUUGAAAAGCCCCGGGAUGACUUGUGGAUAGGGGUGAAAGGCCAAUCAAACUUCGUGAUAGCUGGUUCUCUCCGAAAUAUAUUUAGGUAUAGCGUUGUGUCGUAAUAUAAGGGGGUAGAGCACUGAAUGGGCUAGGGCAUACACCAAUGUACCAAACCCUAUCAAACUCCGAAUACCUUAUAUGUAAUCACAGCAGUCAGGCGGCGAGUG
Molecule: ribosomal RNA, 982 nt
Filed under: Campylobacter coli
Lineage: Bacteria; Pseudomonadati; Campylobacterota; Epsilonproteobacteria; Campylobacterales; Campylobacteraceae
Description: partial 23S ribosomal RNA
Rfam family: Bacterial large subunit ribosomal RNA
Source: RNAcentral